GAAGGUCGACCGCUGGAGGGGUUUAGUUGGCAUUGUUGAAAGUUGAUGGCUGGGGAGGUACGAAAGAUAUCGGAGACAGUCGGUCACUGUAGAAACCUGAUCGCUGGAGCCCGUCCGUUGUAGAAGUUCGUCUGAAAUUCAUCCACUGUAGAAGCUCGGAUGGAGACCGGUUGCCGUGGGAGCCCGGAUGGAGAUCGCUUAUUGUAGAAGUUCGGAUGG
RNAcentral lists this long non-coding RNA (219 nucleotides) under Elaeis guineensis (African oil palm). RNAcentral describes it as "long non-coding RNA (EGUI_LNC075688)". Lineage: Eukaryota; Viridiplantae; Streptophyta; Magnoliopsida; Arecales; Arecaceae. The record is from RNAcentral.